GACGUAGGGUGCAAGCGUUGUCCGGAUUUAUUGGGCGUAAAGAGCUCGUAGGCGGCUUGUUGCGUCGACUGUGAAAACCCGCGGCUUAACCGCGGGCUUGCAGUUGAUACGGGCAGGCUAGAGUUCGGUAGGGGAGACUGGAAUUCCUGGUGUAGCGGUGAAAUGCGCAGAUAUCAGGAGGAACACCAGUGGCGAAGGCGGUGCUCUGGGCCGGAACUGACGCUGAGGAGCGAAAGCGUGGGGAGCAAACAGG
RNAcentral lists this ribosomal RNA (253 nucleotides) under uncultured bacterium. RNAcentral describes it as "partial 16S ribosomal RNA". It matches the Rfam family "Bacterial small subunit ribosomal RNA", at positions 524 to 776 of the family's 1533-position model. The record is from RNAcentral.